Molecule: ribosomal RNA, 231 nt
Filed under: uncultured bacterium
Lineage: Bacteria
Description: partial 16S ribosomal RNA
Rfam family: Bacterial small subunit ribosomal RNA
Source: RNAcentral
CGGGUGAGUAACGCGUGGGUAACCUGCCUCACACAGGGGGAUAACAGUUGGAAACGGCUGCUAAUACCGCAUAAGCGCACGGCAUCGCAUGAUGCAGUGUGAAAAACUCCGGUGGUAUAAGAUGGACCCGCGUUGGAUUAGCUAGUUGGUGAGGUAACGGCCCACCAAGGCGACGAUCCAUAGCCGACCUGAGAGGGUGACCGGCCACAUUGGGACUGAGACACGGCCCAA